GCCCGGGAACUACGAGCAAAGCUUAAAACCCAAAGGACUUGACGGUGCCCCACAUCCUUCUAGAGGAGCCUGUCCUACAACCGAUACCCCUCGUUUCACCUCACCACCCUUAGCCUAUCAGCUUGUAUACUUCCGUCGUCAGCUUACCGCAUGAGCGAACAAGUAAGCCCAAUGUCUCACAUCAGUACGUCAGGUCAAAGUGCAGCACAUAGCGUGGCAAGAGAUGGGGUACACUUUCUACCAUAGAAGACACGAAAGACUAUGUGAAACCAUACUCAAAAGGCGGAUUUAGCAGUAAGGGGGGAACAGAAUACCCCCAUUA
RNAcentral lists this ribosomal RNA (322 nucleotides) under Eleutherodactylus sp. KU291673. RNAcentral describes it as "partial 12S ribosomal RNA". It matches the Rfam family "Bacterial small subunit ribosomal RNA", at positions 871 to 1365 of the family's 1533-position model. Lineage: Eukaryota; Metazoa; Chordata; Amphibia; Anura; Eleutherodactylidae. The record is from RNAcentral.